UACGUAGGGGGCGAGCGUUGUCCGGAUUUAUUGGGCGUAAAGAGCUCGUAGGCGGUUCGAUAAGUCGGACGUGAAAUCUCCACGCUCAACGUGGAGGGGCCGUUCGAUACUGUCGUGACUCGAGUCCGGUAGGGGAGAGUGGAAUUCCUGGUGUAGCGGUGAAAUGCGCAGAUAUCAGGAAGAACACCCGUGGCUAAGGCGGCUCUCUAGUACGGUACUGACGCUGAGACGCGAAAGCGUGGGGAGCGAACAGG
Molecule: ribosomal RNA, 254 nt
Filed under: uncultured bacterium
Lineage: Bacteria
Description: partial 16S ribosomal RNA
Rfam family: Bacterial small subunit ribosomal RNA
Source: RNAcentral